UUGAACGCUGGCGGCAGGCCUAACACAUGCAAGUCGAGCGGAUGAAGGGAGCUUGCUCCUGGAUUCAGCGGCGGACGGGUGAGUAAUGCCUAGGAAUCUGCCUGGUAGUGGGGGAUAACGUCCGGAAACGGGCGCUAAUACCGCAUACGUCCUGAGGGAGAAAGUGGGGGAUCUUCGGACCUCACGCUAUCAGAUGAGCCUAGGUCGGAUUAGCUAGUUGGUGGGGUAAAGGCCUACCAAGGCGACGAUCCGUAACUGGUCUGAGAGGAUGAUCAGUCACACUGGAACUGAGACACGGUCCAGACUCCUACGGGAGGCAGCAGUGGGGAAUAUUGGACAAAGGGCGAAAGCCUGAUCCAGCCAUGCCGCGUGUGUGAAGAAGGUCUUCGGAUUGUAAAGCACUUUAAGUUGGGAGGAAGGGCAGUAAGUUAAUACCUUGCUGUUUUGACGUUACCAACAGGAUAAGCACCGGCUAACUUCGUG
This 483-nucleotide ribosomal RNA is filed under the name uncultured bacterium. RNAcentral describes it as "partial 16S ribosomal RNA". It matches the Rfam family "Bacterial small subunit ribosomal RNA", at positions 30 to 507 of the family's 1533-position model. The record is from RNAcentral.